CCUAAUCUCCUUGUCGAUAAGAACCGAGUUGUAAAGGUAUGUGAUUUCGGGUUGUCACGCAUGAAGCAUCACACAUUCCUCUCUUCAAAGUCUACUGCUGGAACGCCUGAAUGGAUGGCCCCGGAAGUUCUAAGGAACGAACCAGCCAAUGAGAAAUGUGAUGUGUACAGUUUUGGCGUGAUAUUAUGGGAUCUGGUCACUCUGCG
This is a long non-coding RNA of Hibiscus syriacus, 206 nucleotides long. RefSeq lists it as uncharacterized. The record is from RefSeq and is a predicted model, not a curated record. The transcript has 4 exons. Lineage: Eukaryota; Viridiplantae; Streptophyta; Magnoliopsida; Malvales; Malvaceae.